UUAAGCGACUAAGCGUACACGGUGGAUGCCCUGGCAGUCAGAGGCGAUGAAGGACGUGCUAAUCUGCGAUAAGCGUCGGUAAGGUGAUAUGAACCGUUAUAACCGGCGAUUUCCGAAUGGGGAAACCCAGUGUGUUUCGACACACUAUCAUUAACUGAAUCCAUAGGUUAAUGAGGCGAACCGGGGGAACUGAAACAUCUAAGUACCCCGAGGAAAAGAAAUCAACCGAGAUUCCCCCAGUAGCGGCGAGCGAACGGGGAGGAGCCCAGAGCCUGAAUCAGUGUGUGUGUUAGUGGAAGCGUAUGGAAAGGCGCGCGAUACAGGGUGACAGCCCCGUACACAAAAAUGCACAUGCUGUGAGCUCGAUGAGUAGGGCGGGACACGUGGUAUCCUGUCUGAAUAUGGGGGGACCAUCCUCCAAGGCUAAAUACUCCUGACUGACCGAUAGUGAACCAGUACCGUGAGGGAAAGGCGAAAAGAACCCCGGCGAGGGGAGUGAAAAAGAACCUGAAACCGUGUACGUACAAGCAGUGGGAGCACAGAGCAAUCUGUGUGACUGCGUACCUUUUGUAUAAUGGGUCAGCGACUUAUAUUCUGUAGCAAGGUUAACCGAAUAGGGGAGCCGAAGGGAAACCGAGUCUUAACUGGGCGUUAAGUUGCAGGGUAUAGACCCGAAACCCGGUGAUCUAGCCAUGGGCAGGUUGAAGGUUGGGUAACACUAACUGGAGGACCGAACCGACUAAUGUUGAAAAAUUAGCGGAUGACUUGUGGCUGGGGGUGAAAGGCCAAUCAAACCGGGAGAUAGCUGGUUCUCCCCGAAAGCUAUUUAGGUAGCGCCUCGUGAAUUCAUCUCCGGGGGUAGAGCACUGUUUCGGCAAGGGGGUCAUCCCGACUUACCAACCCGAUGCAAACUGCGAAUACCGGAGAAUGUUAUCACGGGAGACACACGGCGGGUGCUAACGUCCGUCGUGAAGAGGGAAACAACCCAGACCGCCAGCUAAGGUCCCAAAGUCAUGGUUAAGUGGGAAACGAUGUGGGAAGGCCCAGACAGCCAGGAUGUUGGCUUAGAAGCAGCCAUCAUUUAAAGAAAGCGUAAUAGCUCACUGGUCGAGUCGGCCUGCGCGGAAGAUGUAACGGGGCUAAACCAUGCACCGAAGCUGCGGCAGCGACGCUUAUGCGUUGUUGGGUAGGGGAGCGUUCUGUAAGCCUGCGAAGGUGUGCUGUGAGGCAUGCUGGAGGUAUCAGAAGUGCGAAUGCUGACAUAAGUAACGAUAAAGCGGGUGAAAAGCCCGCUCGCCGGAAGACCAAGGGUUCCUGUCCAACGUUAAUCGGGGCAGGGUGAGUCGACCCCUAAGGCGAGGCCGAAAGGCGUAGUCGAUGGGAAACAGGUUAAUAUUCCUGUACUUGGUGUUACUGCGAAGGGGGGACGGAGAAGGCUAUGUUGGCCGGGCGACGGUUGUCCCGGUUUAAGCGUGUAGGCUGGUUUUCCAGGCAAAUCCGGAAAAUCAAGGCUGAGGCGUGAUGACGAGGCACUACGGUGCUGAAGCAACAAAUGCCCUGCUUCCAGGAAAAGCCUCUAAGCAUCAGGUAACAUCAAAUCGUACCCCAAACCGACACAGGUGGUCAGGUAGAGAAUACCAAGGCGCUUGAGAGAACUCGGGUGAAGGAACUAGGCAAAAUGGUGCCGUAACUUCGGGAGAAGGCACGCUGAUAUGUAGGUGAAGCGCCUUGCGGAUGGAGCUGAAAUCAGUCGAAGAUACCAGCUGGCUGCAACUGUUUAUUAAAAACACAGCACUGUGCAAACACGAAAGUGGACGUAUACGGUGUGACGCCUGCCCGGUGCCGGAAGGUUAAUUGAUGGGGUUAGCGGUAACGCGAAGCUCUUGAUCGAAGCCCCGGUAAACGGCGGCCGUAACUAUAACGGUCCUAAGGUAGCGAAAUUCCUUGUCGGGUAAGUUCCGACCUGCACGAAUGGCGUAAUGAUGGCCAGGCUGUCUCCACCCGAGACUCAGUGAAAUUGAACUCGCUGUGAAGAUGCAGUGUACCCGCGGCAAGACGGAAAGACCCCGUGAACCUUUACUAUAGCUUGACACUGAACAUUGAGCCUUG
Molecule: ribosomal RNA, 2109 nt
Filed under: Escherichia coli KOEGE 7 (16a)
Lineage: Bacteria; Pseudomonadati; Pseudomonadota; Gammaproteobacteria; Enterobacterales; Enterobacteriaceae
Description: bacterial LSU rRNA
Rfam family: Bacterial large subunit ribosomal RNA
Source: RNAcentral